AAACUGUUUGUUUGUGUGUCUACCUGAUGAAUUUGACGGCUAGUCCCAGAUCAGCGAUGCAGCAGGUGCCGUCGCUUUUCACCAGGAUGUUUUUGCUCUUCAGGUCUCUGUGUGCGAUGGCCGGUUUUCCCUGCGUGCCGGAGAUUUCAGUGUGUAGGUGACAGAGACCCGAGACGGCGGACUGUGCGAGUUGCAGCAGUGAUUUGGUGUCCAGCGAGGUGGAUUUGAGGACAUGGUGAUGAACCCCAGAACACCGUCUCUGUAUCAGAUCUGAUCCCAGGACAGUGUCUGGCCUCUUCUGUAGUGAAGAAAACCUUCACAGCCACCUGCUCUCCUCUCCAGCGGCUCAUCCACACCUCACCGUAUCGACCCUUCCCGAUCUGAGACACCAUCUGGAUCUGUCUCGCCACCGUCCGCUGCACCUGC
Molecule: long non-coding RNA, 426 nt
Organism: Paramisgurnus dabryanus
Lineage: Eukaryota; Metazoa; Chordata; Actinopteri; Cypriniformes; Cobitidae
Source: RefSeq, a predicted model, not a curated record